UCAGACAGCUGCGGCUGUUCUCGUGAACAAAAGCGACAGGCGCGCGCCAGCAGCUGACAUCUCCAAUCCUGCGCUGAAGCCUGUCUCCAUAUUCUGAAUGUACCUAGUGUCUCAUUGUUAUUCGAUUAAAUAUAAUCUAACAUUGUUUACGAAUACAUGAUUCAUUUUAAGUAGCAUAUCUGUGCUGUAGUGCCGAUAUUCGUUCUGGGCAGGUGUUUAGGCGUUUGUUAUUCAAGGUUUUAAAAUGAAGACUAGGUUUUACGCUGUAUUUUGAUACUGAAGGUUUGGAUUGAUCUGCUGUUGCUUUGGGCAGUUGACGACUGGUUUGGGGGCUUAUUGUUUUAGGACAAAGAUCAUCUCAAGUCUGGACUCGCAGGAAACCAAGUACUGGCAUUUGUUUUUCACACCACUUCUACUUUGGCAAUUUUGAAAGCAUACUCAUUUCAUGUCUUGAUGAUGCCUACUGUCAGAUCCUGAUAUAUAGCUGCUUAUUCAGGGAUUUCUGGGAAGAAGAAGGAGGCUAUCGAGGUUGGGACUUUGGAGAGAGAGAGGUAUAGAGAGAGGCACUUUGUAAAGGCGUCCCAUCGAUCAGAGCCCGAAGUCGCAGUCCAGGAGCUUGUCAAACCCUCCAACGUAAGCAAUUCCUCCACUCACUUGUCAACGGCUACAAAUACUUCUUUACAAGUUUUACUCAGAUCAUUUUACUUAGAUAUUUUACUCACUGGGAUAAUACAAAGGCUGUGUCUGACACUUUUUAGUAUAGCCUACGUGAAUUAUUUUACCUACAUUUCUGUCAAAUUACAAGGGUGUUUUAUGGAAACUUAUUGCAAUGUGUAUAACAUUAUUUUGUUUGUUGCUACAACUCUGGGUGUCAGUUGCUCGAUAGCUGUGGUACGGUUGAGGGCAGCAGUGAACACCCUCAUCCCAGUAGUUUUUUUUGUGUGCACUUGUAUCAUCUGGCAUCAUAUAGUGUCUUUGAUGUAGUACACUACAGUUUAAGUCAACCGUGCUGCCCCACAACAGGUUUCUCUUUCACCAAGACCGAGCUCAGAUAUUCUGUCAUCUCUGCUUCUCUGUAUGACUGUGUCCCGCCCAGUGGCUGUUAGCGUCCGUUGCUUCUAACUACCACUCAAAAGGUAUGACUUCCUCACUGGAGCUACCAGUCCCCUCCAUAAAGGCACAUUCACAUCGGCCUUGUGCUGAAAUACUGAAAGGAGGGCUGCUAUGCUAAUGUAAUGGAGGUAAGAAAGUGACAUACGCUUACUCCACAUAACUAGCUUAAAUGUCGCCAAUGGUGCUAUCGUAUCCGAUCAUUUUCUAUAGAGCAACUGGUUGGUAAGUUGUCAAGGAUGGCGGUCGCGUAUGUUUGCGAUUAGAGCGCCACUGGUUUGAGCCCAGUAAGGGGAUGCAGGGACAGUGGAGGAAGCAAAGCUGUUAGCAGCACACUGGUUUAGGUUUCACUGACAGAGAUGGCUGUUAACACCUUCACUGCUGUCCAAUAUCAACUGGAAAUUGAAAGGACACUAUAGGCAUCUGAGUCACAGACCAGGAGUUAGACCAUUACAAUUCCUCCACUCACCUGUCAACAGAUACAAAUACAGAAUUUUAAAGAUACAUCAUUUUACUUAGAUAUUUUAUUCACAACAAUGAUACAAAGACUCUGACACUUCUUAAUGUAGCCUACAUAUCACCUCCACUUUGAUUAAAUCGUUCACAAUUUUACCUAUGUUUCUGUUUUAUGUAAACUUACUGCAACGUGUACAGUUUUGUUUUAGCUGUUGUUAUACCUCUGUGAACUCCUUAGCUGACAAUGGGUAUCAGUUGCACGACAGCUGUGGUACUGGUGUUAGUAUAAUGGAUGUCACGCUUCUUGCUUAGCGAGUACCACUUCCUGAUUCGGCUCACACAGAGGCUCAAACCCAGGAUCUCUUGUUUUCUAGCACAUGUGACCACCCGCCCGAAGCGUCUUACCAGUCACGCCACACAAAAAGCUAGCUAUAUGGUGGCACAAAGUGGGGAGACUUCAGGGUGAGGAGUAAGUUUUACAUAUCCCCCAUGUGCUACAUUAGAAGCUGUCUUGAGACAGCAACCGUGGACACCCUCAUCUCAGUAGCUCUUUGUGUGUGCAGUUACAUCAUAACUUUCUAGAUCAUUUCCAUGUAAACCUUCUGAAGACACAGCCAAAGAAAACACCAAAUAUUUCAAAAAUCUUUUAGCACUUUGUCAUUGUCACUCCUCAGUUCUCUAGUUCCAUUCACAUUAAUGAAAGAUUUCCAUGGAAGUUGGCAUCACUCGACACUGCAGCCAUGGGAUAGUGAACCAAUCAAAAGUGGAUUGAAGAGUAGCCUUUUCCUCGUAACCCAAUCAGCAUUGUGUAUGCAUGAGCCACUACCACACCCUGCCCUUACAUGGCACGGAGGACUGGCCAAGGUCUACAGAUGGAUGUAAAGGCUGCUAGUUCAGAGACAACAGGGCCACAAUACUAAGACCACUACAACUACUACUACUACAACAGAACCACAACUACCAAGAGCAUUACUACAGAACCAGGAGGGGAACAGCUUCCGACUUGUCUCAGGUAAGAUUCGAUUACUAAUCAUAAUUUUAGAUUAAAUCAAUGGACAUUGAAUUUAUCAAGCACAAUAACAUAUUUUUUUGGUCCCAAUUUCAGAUUGAAUAGUGCUAGUUGUAGAACGCACUGAUAUCAAAAGAUGUAAUCCCUUCCAAUGAUUGCAUAAAAAAUGGUACAUUCAUCAAUACUCUGAGAAGAGUAUUUAUUUAACUAACAUUUCCAUCUAAUGUGUGACAUAUAAGUUUUUUUUAACUCCAGUUUCAGAACUGGACAGCAACCAUCUGCCACUGGCUGCAGCAGAAUACUGUAGAGAGUCAGCUGGUGUUCAAAGAGCAGACUGUAAUCUGUUCUUCAGCUGUACGACAAUAUUCUAUUAUUAUUCAGCUAAAUUCCAGAUGCAGUUGCAGAAUGUGCGUACACACUCACAUGUUUGUCAAAGAUUCACGAGGCUGCUUUGUGGAUAUUCUGAAUACAAGUGAAAGCAAAUCACCCCACAUGAUUGAAAUGCAAUAAAGUUGGCACUACUUGCAGACAUGAGCGAUGUAAAUACUAAAAUACACUCUUCUCUCUCUAGGACGACAGUGAAG
Molecule: long non-coding RNA, 3159 nt
Organism: Oncorhynchus kisutch (coho salmon)
Lineage: Eukaryota; Metazoa; Chordata; Actinopteri; Salmoniformes; Salmonidae
Source: Ensembl